CCUACGGGAGGCAGCAGUGGGGAAUUUUGGACAAUGGGCGAAAGCCUGAUCCAGCAAUGCCGCGUGUGUGAAGAAGGCCUUCGGGUUGUAAAGCACUUUAGUCCGGAAAGAAAUGCCUUUGGUUAAUACCUGGGGUUGAUGACGGUACCGGAAGAAUAAGCACCGGCUAACUUCGUGCCAGCAGCCGCGGUAAUACGAAGGGUCCAAGCGUUAAUCGGAAUUACUGGGCGUAAAGCGUGCGCAGGCGGUUGUGCAAGUCGGAUGUGAAAUCCCCGGGCUCAACUUGGGAAUUGCAUUGGAAACUGCCGGGCUAGAGUGCGGUAGAGGGGGGUGGAAUUUCAUGUGUAGCGGUGAAAUGCGUAGAGAUAUGGAGGAACACCGAUGGCGAAGGCAGCCCCCUGGGAUAGCACUGACACUCAGCGCGAAAG
This 428-nucleotide ribosomal RNA is filed under the name uncultured bacterium. RNAcentral's name for it is "bacterial SSU rRNA". It matches the Rfam family "Bacterial small subunit ribosomal RNA", at positions 338 to 759 of the family's 1533-position model. The record is from RNAcentral.